AGCAGCCGCGGUAAUUCCAGCUCCAAUAGCGUAUAUUAAAGUUGUUGCAGUUAAAAAGCUCGUAGUUGAAUUUCGGGGUUAGUAGGUUGGUCGUGCCUUUGGUAUGUACUGGUCUCACUGAUUCCUCCUUCUUGAAGAACUGUAAUGUCAUUAAUUUGGUGUUGCAGGGAAACAGGACUGUUACUUUGAAAAAAUUAGAGUGUUUAAAGCAGGCUAAUGCCUGAAUACAUUAGCAUGGAAUAAUGAAAUAGGACGUUUGAUCCUAUUUUGUUGGUUUCUAGGAUUGACGUAAUGAUUAAUAGGGAUAGUUGGGGGCAUUAGUAUUCAAUUGUCAGAGGUGAAAUUCUUGGAUUUAUUGAAGACUAACUACUGCGAAAGCAUUUGCCAAGGAUGUUUUCAUUAAUCAAGAACGAAAGUUAGGGGAUCGAAGACGAUCAGAUACCGUCGUAGUCUUAACCAUAAACUAUGCCGACUAGGGAUCGGAUGAAGUUAAUUUUUAAUGACUCAUUCGGCGCCUUAC
RNAcentral lists this ribosomal RNA (520 nucleotides) under uncultured Glomus. RNAcentral describes it as "SSU rRNA". It matches the Rfam family "Eukaryotic small subunit ribosomal RNA", at positions 569 to 1091 of the family's 1831-position model. The record is from RNAcentral. Lineage: Eukaryota; Fungi; Glomeromycota; Glomeromycetes; Glomerales; Glomeraceae.